This is a non-coding RNA of Stylosanthes scabra, 84 nucleotides long. Lineage: Eukaryota; Viridiplantae; Streptophyta; Magnoliopsida; Fabales; Fabaceae. The record is from the annotation of a GenBank genome assembly.
CCGACCUUAGCUCAGUUGGUAGAGCGGAGGACUGUAGUUGGUAUAGCAAUCCUUAGGUCGCUGGUUCGAAUCCGGCAGGUCGGA